AGUGAACGCUGGCGGUAUGCCUAGCACAUGCAAGUCGAACGGCAGCACAGUAAGAGCUUGCUCUUACGGGUGGCGAGUGGCGGACGGGUGAGGAAUGCAUCGGAAUCUACUUUUUCGUGGGGGAUAACGAAGGGAAACUUACGCUAAUACCGCAUACGACCUACGGGUGAAAGCAGGAGAUCUUCGGACCUUGCGCGAUUGAAUGAGCCGAUGUCGGAUUAGCUAGUUGGCGGGGUAAAGGCCCACCAAGGCGACGAUGCGUAGCUGGUCUGAGAGGAUGAUCAGCCACACUGGAACUGAGACACGGUCCAGACUCCUACGGGAGGCAGCAGUGGGGAAUAUUGGACAAUGGGCGCAAGCCUGAUCCAGCCAUACCGCGUGGGUGAAGAAGGCCUUCGGGUCGUAAAGCCCUUUUGUUGGGAAAGAAAAGCAGCAGGUUAAAACACGGCUGUUCUGACGGUACCCAAAGAAUAAGCACCGGCUAACUUCGUG
Molecule: ribosomal RNA, 492 nt
Filed under: uncultured bacterium
Lineage: Bacteria
Description: partial 16S ribosomal RNA
Rfam family: Bacterial small subunit ribosomal RNA
Source: RNAcentral